UCUUUUUUUAUAUUGUUGAUCAACAAAAUGGUGAGAAUCUCUGGAAUUUUCUACUAUUCUUUUCUUCAUUUAAAAAGUUUACGAAAGAAUUUUGAUUCUAUACGUUUUUUGCAAGUAAGCAAUUCUAGUUUUAUGUGCUUAAAGUUGAAUAAAUUGAAUAGUGCCUCGACUCAAAACAUCUUCAAUAUUUAGAUUUAAGAAUUUUAUACAAAAUAUCGUCUUAGUAAAUUAAAUAGGUUGAUUUAUUAAUAGAGUUUGGUUAGAUAUAAACUUCUUAUCGUUAAAAUUAGGUACUUAUCCUCAAAUUAUUAAAAUAAUCGUAUGAUAAUUUUGUAAUAAUAAACAGAAGUAAAUUCAGGAAAUACACUUAAUUCUCCUUAGAAAGUUUAUGAAAGAUAUAAUUUGGCACGUAGAAAUUCCGGAAUCUAUAAGCGAUAUUUUAUGUUUGAAUAACAAUAGGAGAUACAUAAAGUAAAUGAAAUGAGAGAAACAUCCCUGUAUAUAAAGAAGCUAAAUAUUUUAGAAGAAAGAAGAAACUAUAAAGAAACUAUAUCUUAAUCUAUAGUCGAUUUACGAACAGGGAUUGUGUCAAAUAUAUGUAAUAUAAGAUGGUCCUAAAUAGCUAGGUUUACUAUGAAGUAUUGAAGUCAAAUAAAACUGUAAAAAUAAUAUUAUCACCAACAUUAGCAUUAUUACUUGAUUUAUAAUUUGAUCUGAAUCAAUUUUUACAUUUAAAUGGCAAAAUAGCAAUUUUUAAUAAAAAUACUUUUUUUAAUCUGUUACACUUUUAUUUAUUCCCCAAGGAUCACAUUUUGUCACAUAAAUCUUUAAAGCACUAAAUUCUGAUAAUAUGCACUCAUGUAAAAUCAUCAUCUUUUGUCUUGUAAACGUUUCAUUUCAGAUAUUUCACAAGGAUUUCAUUUCCUGUUUGUGUUCCUUCAAGAUCAAAUUUUCAUGACAUUUCUUCCUCACGACACAAGAAAGAAGAAUCGAGAUAAACAUCUUUCGUGGUUUGCUUCUUCCUUCUAUAGUUAUUUUAAUCCGUAAAGAAAAAGAGUUAAAUUUGUUACUACAAAAUGAAGAAAAAUAAAUGUUUUUCUGGAAAAUUUUACCUGAUAUCAAAGAAAAAGUUAAAACGAUUUAAUUUAAUAACUUUAUAACCUAAAUAAAUGCAACAUUUGAAUUAGAAGAUAGAAGAAAAGCAGACUUCUAUAAUGAUGUAUCCGGUUCCUGGAUCGAAGACUUAGAUUGCAGCUUGCAGUUAGAUGCCGAUUACUGAAGAGAUGUCGGAAGAAAUGAAGCGUUUGAUGUAGGAAUACAGUAAUAUAAAACGUGUUAGUGCUGAUUACGGAAUUUCCAAGGAUAGAAGAAACAGUAAUUAUCACUGAAAAUAAGUUGAAAGAUGUGAUAUUUGUUUCAUUAUCAAAUUAAAAAACAUUGGUUCAUUUAUACUAACUUUUAUUUACUUAUUUUAAAUCUUUAUAAUUCAAUUUGAGAAUUGCUUCUUUUA
Centruroides sculpturatus (bark scorpion) is the source of this 1510-nucleotide long non-coding RNA. RefSeq lists it as uncharacterized. NCBI's taxonomy places the organism in Eukaryota, Metazoa, Arthropoda, Arachnida, Scorpiones, Buthidae. The transcript is spliced from 3 exons. The record is from RefSeq and is a predicted model, not a curated record.